This 374-nucleotide ribosomal RNA is filed under the name uncultured organism. Its description in RNAcentral is "partial 16S ribosomal RNA". It matches the Rfam family "Bacterial small subunit ribosomal RNA", at positions 527 to 896 of the family's 1533-position model. The record is from RNAcentral.
GUAGGUGCCAAGCGUUGUCCGGAAUUAUUGGGCGUAAAGCGCGCGCAGGCGGUCCUUUAAGUCUGAUGUGAAAGCCCACGGCUCAACCGUGGAGGGUCAUUGGAAACUGGGGGACUUGAGUACAGAAGAGGAAAGCGGAAUUCCAAGUGUAGCGGUGAAAUGCGUAGAGAUUUGGAGGAACACCAGUGGCGAAGGCGGCUUUCUGGUCUGUAACUGACGCUGAGGCGCGAAAGCGUGGGGAGCAAACAGGAUUAGAUACCCUGGUAGUCCACGCCGUAAACGAUGAGUGCUAAGUGUUAGGGGGUUUCCCGCCCCCCUUAGUGCUGCAGCUAACGCAUUAAGCACUCCGCCUGGGGAGUACGGCCGCAAGGCUG